UGGCGGACGGGUGAGUAACGCGUGGAAAACCUGCCGUAUACUGGGGGAUAACACUUAGAAAUAGGUGCUAAUACCGCAUAAGCGCACAGCUUCGCAUGAAGCGGUGUGAAAAACUCCGGUGGUAUACGAUGGUUCCGCGUCUGAUUAGCUAGUUGGUGGGGUAAUGGCCUACCAAGGCAACGAUCAGUAGCCGGCCUGAGAGGGUGAACGGCCACAUUGGGACUGAGACACGGCCCAAACUCCUACGGAAGGCAGCAG
This 258-nucleotide ribosomal RNA is filed under the name uncultured bacterium. RNAcentral describes it as "partial 16S ribosomal RNA". It matches the Rfam family "Bacterial small subunit ribosomal RNA", at positions 96 to 354 of the family's 1533-position model. The record is from RNAcentral.